UUUUUCGAGAAACUUUAUAUAUACAUAUAUAUAUAUAUAUAUAUAAAUAUAUAUUGUUUAAUAAAUUUUCAUUAGUUUUGAAAUAUAUAUUUUUCAUAUAUCCAUGGAUGCUUCAAUAUUGUUUAAUACUUUGUGGCCGGUUGUAUUCUAUAAUCUCUUUCAAUAUUGGAUGCUUUAUGUUUACAUGAUAGUAUAUUAAAUAUUUAAAUAGAAAAAGCGAUAUAUCAUUUAGAACAUCAAAUCAAUUCCUUAAAGAAAAGAUCUAAUCGCCCUUUAAUAAUUUUUGCGUAUGUAUUAUUCAUAAGAGAACUCUCUAAUUAUUUACUGUUAAGAACCCGAAUGAUAUAUCUAUAUCUAUAUGUUAUACUAAAUCUC
This 375-nucleotide long non-coding RNA is filed under the name Brassica napus (rape). RNAcentral describes it as "long non-coding RNA (BNAP_LNC007843)". Lineage: Eukaryota; Viridiplantae; Streptophyta; Magnoliopsida; Brassicales; Brassicaceae. The record is from RNAcentral.